UUUAUUGAGAGUUUGAUCCUGGCUCAGGAUGAACGCUGGCGGCGUGCUUAACACAUGCAAGUCGAACGGGGGUGCUAUGUGAGAGGAGUCAGCUUGCUGGAUCUGAUCUUUUAGCACUCUAGUGGCGGACGGGUGAGUAACGCGUGGGCAACCUGCCUUAUACCGGGGGAUAACACUUAGAAAUAGGUGCUAAUACCGCAUAACAACAGAAAGCGCAUGCUUUGUGUUUGAAAACUCCGGUGGUAUAAGAUGGACCCGCGUCUGAUUAGCUGGUUGGCGGGGUAACGGCCCACCAAGGCGACGAUCAGUAGCCGGCCUGAGAGGGUG
This 327-nucleotide ribosomal RNA is filed under the name Lachnospiraceae bacterium. RNAcentral's name for it is "bacterial SSU rRNA". It matches the Rfam family "Bacterial small subunit ribosomal RNA", at positions 1 to 302 of the family's 1533-position model. The record is from RNAcentral. Lineage: Bacteria; Bacillati; Bacillota; Clostridia; Lachnospirales; Lachnospiraceae.